GACGAACGCUGGCGGCGUGCUUAACACAUGCAAGUCGAACGGAAAGGCCCUGCUUUUGUGGGGUGCUCGAGUGGCGAACGGGUGAGUAACACGUGAGUAACCUGCCCUUGACUUUGGGAUAACUACAGGAAACUGGGGCUAAUACCGGAUAGGAGCUCCUGCUGCAUGGUGGGGGUUGGAAAGUUUCGGCGGUUGGGGAUGGACUCGCGGCUUAUCAGCUUGUUGGUGGGGUAGUGGCUUACCAAGGCUUUGACGGGUAGCCGGCCUGAGAGGGUGACCGGCCACAUUGGGACUGAGAUACGGCCCAGACUCCUACGGGAGGCAGCAGUGGGGAAUAUUGCACAAUGGGCGGAAGCCUGAUGCAGCAACGCCGCGUGCGGGAUGACGGCCUUCGGGUUGUAAACCGCUUUCGCCUGUGACGAAGCGUGAGUGACGGUAAUGGGUAAAGAAGCACCGGCUAACUACGUGCCAGCAGCCGCGGUGAUACGUAGGGUGCGAGCGUUGUCCGGAUUUAUUGGGCGUAAAGGGCUCGGAGGUGGUUGAUCGCGUCGGAAGUGUAAUCUUGGGGCUUAACCCUGAGCGUGCUUUCGAUACGGGUUGACUUGAGGAAUUUAGGGGAGAAUGGAAUUCCUGGUGGAGCGGUGGAAUGCGCAGAUAUCAGGAGGAACACCAGUGGCGAAGGCGGUUCUCUGGGCCUUUCCUGACGCUGAGGAGCGAAAGCGUGGGGAGCGAACAGGCUUAGAUACCCUGGUAGUCCACGCUGUAAACGGUGGGUACUAGGUGUGGGGUCCAUUCCACGGGUUCCGUGCCGUAGCUAACGCUUUAAGUACCCCGCCUGGGGAGUACGGCCGCAAGGCUAAAACUCAAAGGAAUUGACGGGGCCCCGCACAAGCGGCGGAGCAUGCGGAUUAAUUCGAUGCAACGCGUAGAACCUUACCUGGGUUUGACAUGGAUCGGGAGUGCUCAGAGAUGGGUGUGCCUCUUUUGGGGUCGGUUCACAGGUGGUGCAUGGCUGUCGUCAGCUCGUGUCGUGAGAUGUUGGGUUAAGUCCCGCAACGAGCGCAACCCUUGUUCACUGUUGCCAGCACGUUAUGGUGGGGACUCAGUGGAGACCGCCGGGGUCAACUCGGAGGAAGGUGGGGAUGACGUCAAGUCAUCAUGCCCCUUAUGUCCAGGGCUUCACGCAUGCUACAAUGGCUGGUACAGAGAGUGGCGAGCCUGUGAGGGUGAGCGAAUCUCGGAAAGCCGGUCUCAGUUCGGAUUGGAGUCUGCAACUCGACCUCAUGAAGUCGGAGUCGCUAGUAAUCGCAGAUCAGCAACGCUGCGGUGAAUACGUUCCCGGG
Molecule: ribosomal RNA, 1343 nt
Filed under: uncultured bacterium
Lineage: Bacteria
Description: 16S ribosomal RNA
Rfam family: Bacterial small subunit ribosomal RNA
Source: RNAcentral